AGUUGGGAGAGCCAGGCUGGGGCUCCGGCAGGCCCAGGGAAAUUUCCCUUUCUAGGCUCUUUAUUAAAAAAUUUAAAAGGAGGAGUUGAGGUGCCUUGAAUUUUCCUUCGCGAGUUUGGAGACCAGCCGAUUUUUCAUGAAGCAAGCAAAGACCGCGGUCCCGGAUCCUGCAACAUAUACCUCAUUUUCUCCAGGCCUCUCCACUUGCCCGAGCUCUCAGCCACCAGGAGACAGACGGAAGGGGCUUCUGGGCUGCGUUGGGAGCAGGCACUGUCCCCUACCCACUCCUGCACAGUUUCCCAAAGUCCAGCGACCUCCGACCCUCCUUGGGGGAAAAAUACCAGUACCCAGACACCUCUGCACCCUGUUAUAUGACUGGGCUUGCUUCAGGAAUAUCUUACAAAGAAGAAGAAGAAGGAGGAGGAGGAACGGCUUGGAGUCAUGUUUACAUCUAGUUCUACUGAUCCGUUCACAUCUGGAGAGUUUAUUUAUAACUCCCUCUAUAACUCUCUGUUUGGAGGCACUGGUGGCUCUACUGACAGACUGAUGUCUAGGAAAUAUUGCUCUAUGUCUAACGUACCUAAAUGUGCUGUGGUUGUAUUUACAGAUUUACGUUUGAGGGAAAUAUAAUUAUUUCCAUUGUAUUUGUGCAUAUACAGUAGUUAUAGGAGCAGAUUUAUAUAUGGGAAAAUAUACGACUCUCUUACAGCCA
Gorilla gorilla gorilla (western lowland gorilla) is the source of this 712-nucleotide long non-coding RNA. RefSeq lists it as uncharacterized. Lineage: Eukaryota; Metazoa; Chordata; Mammalia; Primates; Hominidae. The record is from RefSeq and is a predicted model, not a curated record. The transcript has 2 exons.